GUCAGUUGGCUACUUUAGCCUUCACCACCCAGCGCAUGCUGCUUGGUAAUCACUGAGUUGGCUGGACUGUCUUCUCUGAAUGUGGUCAUGAUGGCUGAGGAUAGAGGUGGAACAGGUGCCAUGCUGCUAUCACAAGACGGAGACCACAUACUCUAAGAAUGCUGAACAGAAAAAUAAAAGGAGUCUGAGUCCCUGAUGACAUAAUAGAGCUACCAUAACCACCAUGGAUAUUGUCUAGGUGCUUUGUAAUAUAAAAAGAGUAAACCCUCUAAUUGGUUCAA
Molecule: long non-coding RNA, 281 nt
Filed under: Homo sapiens (human)
Lineage: Eukaryota; Metazoa; Chordata; Mammalia; Primates; Hominidae
Description: novel transcript
Source: RNAcentral